CAUUUAAAAUAAUGAUUUAUUUGCAAAAGAAACUCUUUUCCAGACCAAAACCCAAAUAAAACCUUGUAACUUCAGUAUCUAUAUACUCUAGGAGAAGACAGCAGCAAUAUGACAGAAGGCAUAACUUGAACCACUUGUAACUGCACAGAUAAAGCUAGGAAACAUUUAGAAAAACAUUGUGCUGGAAAAAAUAUCUAAAUGUUUAAAGAAGUUGGUGACCACAAUGAUGGGUGCAGUUUAAAAACCAGAAUGGAAUACAAUAGAGUGCAUUUGGCUCUGUAACAAACAGCAUGUUUCUAAUCACCAGCAUCUGAGUCAAACUAAAUAUUUCAAACCUCACCACCAAAGACAAUAAAAUUGUAAAUGCUAAUGUGUCCUGCCCAGCAGACUGUAUUAUUGCUUUAUGCUCAGCUUGUCAGUUGCCAUGCCAAUCUUCUUACUCGUUACCAGCAUCUUCUACUUGUUUUAAACUUUUGUUUUAAACAUUAUUUUUAAAAUCACUCAGCAACUCACAUUUAGAUAACUGCUCAGAUUUCCUAACGGAUUUUGUUCCUGUUAGAGUACUCAGUGAAACAGCCAGUUCUUCUGAAGUGCUUAACAUCAAAUAACUCCCUCUGAAAUAUCAUUUGGGGAAAUUAAAUCUGAAAACUCCGUGUCUAAUCAGCUUUGUUAAAGAAGAGGCAGUUUAGCUAUUUCAUGGUAUUCCCACCUUUCUUCUCUUUUCUUCAACAUAUAGCUGGAGAGGAGCAUGAUGAAUACCAAUGCGUGGCUCAACCAGCCUGUCUGGUUUUCUCAUUAAGAAAAAUAGAGUGGAACAGCUCUUAUUCUCAGGAGAAGAUGAAAUACAAAGUUGCUGCUGUCCAAUAGGCUGGCAGUCUGUCUGCCUGCAAAAGCUACUAAUUCAUGGAUCAUUUACGUGUUGCAACAUUAACGAUUUUUGCUUUUAGCAUGCAGUUAUAAAUAAUGCCAUGCGUAGAGUGAACGUACAGGAAAUUCUCAUAGACAGCUGGCAAAGAUUCAUCUUGUUGGGUCUCAUUAGUGAGGGCCAUAAAAACAGAGAGUGAAAAUGAGUCAGACUGAAAAUAUAUUAGAGCCUGCCAUAUUUUCAGUGUUCAAUUCAAUGAUUUUCCACUAAAGCCAGUGAGGAGACAUGGCAGAUGAGGCCUCCAGAGGUCAGUCAGAAAUGAUUCCUGGCUCUUCCCCAAACUCCCUGUGUGAUCUUGUCUAAGUGAUUUCAUUCUUCCCUACCUCAACCCUUUGUCUAGCUGGAAAAUGCACCCAAAGUCUCUCUUGGCAGAACAAAAGUACUGCACUUAGGUAGAACUAACCAGCUACACAAAUUCAAAACAGGGAGUGAUUAGCCAUGGUUAGAUCUAUUAUUUUUCAUAACAGGUCUUGGAGGUUGUAGCAGAUCACCAGCUGAGCACGAAUCAACCAUGUAAUCUGUUAUAAAUAUAAACCAUCUACCUAUUCUGCUUCUUAAGAACUGAAAAAAAAAGGAAGACCCAAAACUUCAUCUCUAAAUAUCUUUUUGCCUUGACUUCAGUUAAUUUGAAAAUGGUGGAAAUAACUCUGAAUUAAUUUGACUAUUGUCUCAGAUGAGAUUUAUCAUAAAAAAAAAAAA
This is a long non-coding RNA of Strigops habroptila (Kakapo), 1624 nucleotides long. The record is from Ensembl. Lineage: Eukaryota; Metazoa; Chordata; Aves; Psittaciformes; Psittacidae.